AUGAGUACAAGGACGUGGAGGCCCACGGCAACACCAAGUUGCACGUCAUCCACACCAACGACAAGAAGCAGAUGGCGAUCACCCUCGCGCAAACAAACACGAGAGAGCAGAGGAGAGUCAUGGCGGAUGCACCUCUUUACAAGUAGCGCCGCAGGUACACCAGGGAGCUCCACGACGUCGACUUCCACGGCAACCACAAGCUCCACGUCGUUUGCACAAGCAAGGGUGAAGACGUGGACAAGAUGCUGUCCACGCUCAGGAGGAAGCUCGGCGGAAUGCCCGUCAAACUAG
Molecule: ribosomal RNA, 291 nt
Filed under: Triticum aestivum (bread wheat)
Lineage: Eukaryota; Viridiplantae; Streptophyta; Magnoliopsida; Poales; Poaceae
Description: partial small subunit ribosomal RNA
Source: RNAcentral